Molecule: transfer RNA, 74 nt
Filed under: Neodangemannia microcystis
Lineage: Eukaryota; Viridiplantae; Chlorophyta; Ulvophyceae; Oltmannsiellopsidales; Oltmannsiellopsidaceae
Description: tRNA-Asp
Rfam family: tRNA
About the family: Transfer RNA (tRNA) molecules are approximately 80 nucleotides in length. Their secondary structure includes four short double-helical elements and three loops (D, anti-codon, and T loops). Further hydrogen bonds mediate the characteristic L-shaped molecular structure. tRNAs have two regions of fundamental functional importance: the anti-codon, which is responsible for specific mRNA codon recognition, and the 3' end, to which the tRNAs corresponding amino acid is attached (by aminoacyl-tRNA synthetases). tRNAs cope with the degeneracy of the genetic code in two manners: having more than one tRNA (with a specific anti-codon) for a particular amino acid; and 'wobble' base-pairing, i.e. permitting non-standard base-pairing at the 3rd anti-codon position.
Source: RNAcentral
GGGAUUGUAGUUCAAUUGGUUAGAGCACUGCCCUGUCACGGCAGAUGUUGCGGGUUCGAGUCCCGUCAAUCCCG